Molecule: ribosomal RNA, 425 nt
Filed under: uncultured Oscillospiraceae bacterium
Lineage: Bacteria; Bacillati; Bacillota; Clostridia; Eubacteriales; Oscillospiraceae
Description: bacterial SSU rRNA
Rfam family: Bacterial small subunit ribosomal RNA
Source: RNAcentral
UGGGGAAUAUUGCACGAUGGGCGCAAGCCUGAUGCAGCAACGCCGCGUGAGGGAAGACGGUCUUCGGAUUGUAAACCUUUGUCUUUGGUGAAGAAGAAAGUGACGGUAGCCAAGGAGGAAGCCACGGCUAACUACGUGCCAGCAGCCGCGGUAAUACGUAGGUGGCAAGCGUUGUCCGGAAUUACUGGGUGUAAAGGGAGUGUAGGCGGGAAUGCAAGUCAGAAGUGAAAACUAUGGGCUUAACCCAUAGCCUGCUUUUGAAACUGUAUUUCUUGAGUGAAGCAGAGGCAAGCGGAAUUCCUAGUGUAGCGGUGAAAUGCGUAGAUAUUAGGAGGAACACCAGUGGCGAAGGCGGCUUGCUGGGCUUUUACUGACGCUGAGGCUCGAAAGCGUGGGGAGCAAACAGGAUUAGAUACCCUGGUAGU